This is a long non-coding RNA of Callorhinchus milii (elephant shark), 733 nucleotides long. RefSeq lists it as uncharacterized. The transcript has 3 exons. NCBI's taxonomy places the organism in Eukaryota, Metazoa, Chordata, Chondrichthyes, Chimaeriformes, Callorhinchidae. The record is from RefSeq and is a predicted model, not a curated record.
GGGGGGGUGUUGGGGUGUGGGGGUGUGAGACAGUGACGUGUCCACCAUUUGCAUACAUCGGAGUAUAACCACUCGCCCUCAGACUCCGCCGCUCAGUCCGGAGCCGCUUUUUUUUGUAGUUCGAAGUUAAAACGAUCGCCCACUGAGAAGAUGUCUGACGCUGAGAAGCCCAAAGCCAACAUGGAUGAGGUACUCUCAUUCGAUAAGGGGCAGCUGAAGAAUGCAGAAACGAAAGACUCGAUCAGAGUGCCCACCGCUGAAGAAAUCAAAGAGGAAAAGAAAGCUUUGGAGGAAGAAGCUAAAAAAUGAAACUUCUUCAGUUUGCACUCUACAUUCCACAUCAUGUUCUAUUCCAUUUUUAUCAGCUGUAUAUCUUUGUAAAAAAAUAAUAAUCUGGAUGCAGUGUGAAGAGCUGAAGAGUGGUUCCAAUCUCACCUGAAUUCCAUGAAAUGACAACAGAUAAGGCUACAGAUGAAGCUUCAGCUAAAUGAGUGUUGUCCAUCUAUCUAUGGCUUUGAUCCUAGCAGCACUUGACAGCUUGCAUGUCAAAGAAGAAGCCAGACAAGACUACAGGAAUCCUUUGAAAAACCAAACUCUUAUGAAUGAUACAAAGAUGUACAGAGAUCCUGUGUCCACUUAAAUCAAAUGUAUAGAGUGCAUCUUGCUAUACUUGUGCCUCUUGGUAUGCAAAUUGUUUUUGAUAUGCAAAUAAAAAUGAUUUGAAAAAUCUUAA